RNAcentral lists this ribosomal RNA (187 nucleotides) under uncultured Staphylococcus sp. RNAcentral describes it as "partial 16S ribosomal RNA". It matches the Rfam family "Bacterial small subunit ribosomal RNA", at positions 153 to 334 of the family's 1533-position model. The record is from RNAcentral. Lineage: Bacteria; Bacillati; Bacillota; Bacilli; Caryophanales; Staphylococcaceae.
GAAACCGGAGCUAAUACCGGAUAAUAUAUUGAACCGCAUGGUUCAAUAGUGAAAGACGGUUUUGCUGUCACUUAUAGAUGGAUCCGCGCCGCAUUAGCUAGUUGGUAAGGUAACGGCUUACCAAGGCAACGAUGCGUAGCCGGCCUGAGAGGGUGAUCGGCCACACUGGAACUGAGACACGGUCCAG